RNAcentral lists this ribosomal RNA (327 nucleotides) under uncultured eukaryote. Its description in RNAcentral is "partial 18S ribosomal RNA". It matches the Rfam family "Eukaryotic small subunit ribosomal RNA", at positions 1470 to 1796 of the family's 1831-position model. The record is from RNAcentral.
CCCCUAGAUGUUCUGGGCCGCACGCGCGCUACACUGAACAGUUCAACAAGUCUUAACCUUGGCCGAUAGGUCUGGGUAAUCUUUGAACGCUGUUCGUGAUUGGGAUAGACCUUUGCAAUUAUGGGUCUUCAACGAGGAAUGCCUAGUAAGCGCAAGUCAUCAGCUUGCGUUGAUUACGUCCCUGCCCUUUGUACACACCGCCCGUCGCUCCUACCGAUUGAAUGGUCCGGUGAAGCGCUCGGACCGCGGCCUCUUGACGGUUCGCUGUCGAUUGGCUGUGGGAAGUUCGUUAAACCUUAUCAUUUAGAGGAAGGAGAAGUCGUAACA